RNAcentral lists this ribosomal RNA (493 nucleotides) under Morelia bredli (centralian carpet python). RNAcentral describes it as "partial 16S ribosomal RNA". It matches the Rfam family "Bacterial large subunit ribosomal RNA", at positions 1844 to 2597 of the family's 2925-position model. Lineage: Eukaryota; Metazoa; Chordata; Lepidosauria; Squamata; Pythonidae. The record is from RNAcentral.
UAUUAAAGGCAAUGCCUGCCCAGUGAGAACCUCUUCAACGGCCGCGGUACCCUAACCGUGCAAAGGUAGCGUAAUCAUUUGUCUAUUAAUUGUAGACCAGUAUGAAAGGCCACAUGAGAGUCAAACUGUCUCUUGUAAUCAAUCAAUUAAACUGAUCUCCCAGUACAAAAGCUGGAAUACCCAUAUAAGACCAGAAGACCCUGUGAAGCUUAAACUAACCUAUUAAACCUUAUAAUAAUUACUUUCAGUUGGGGCGACUUUGGAACAAAACAGAACUUCCAAACAACAUGAAUCAUACCUCAUACCACAGGCCAACAAGCCACUAUAAGACCCAGUAACACUGACAAUUGAACCAAGUUACUCCAGGGAUAACAGCGCCAUCUUCUUUAAGAGCCCAUAUCAAAAAGAAGGUUUACGACCUCGAUGUUGGAUCAGGACACCCAAAUGGUGCAGCCGCUAUUAAAGGUUCGUUUGUUCAACGAUUAACAGUCCU